RNAcentral lists this long non-coding RNA (2569 nucleotides) under Nicotiana tabacum (common tobacco). RNAcentral describes it as "long non-coding RNA (NTAB_LNC013380)". Lineage: Eukaryota; Viridiplantae; Streptophyta; Magnoliopsida; Solanales; Solanaceae. The record is from RNAcentral.
UCGUAUCCGGUCGCGAUGGCGCCUAUCGUGAGACAAGGCCAGCCGACACAACACCCAAUUCAUUUUAAACAAUUAUAAUAAUACAAUUUAAGUCAUUAACAUGCUAAUAAUCCCAAAAUAAAACUGAAUUAGUACAAUUUGCGGAAAAACCAACACAGCCCGACAUCGGGGUGUCACCAGUCAUGAGCAUCUAAACAUGUGUCUAAGAGUUUGAAAGAGUUUAUACAGUCUAUUACAGAACUAGAAAUAGAAAGUAGAAUAGGAGGGAGAAACACUGGGCUGCGAACGCGGAGCAGCUACCUAGUGGACUCCGAAUAGCCUGCUGGGAGCAAUCAACCCUCACUGGCGGGACCUAAAGCUCCUGAAUCUGCACACAUGGUGCAGGGAGUAAAGUGAGUACUCCAACUCAGUGAGUAAUAAAAAUAAAUGAAGAUUGAGCGAUAAGAAAUCACGUAAAGCACAACAACAUGCUAUAAAGAGGCAGUAUAAAAUCAAUACAAUGCAACAAAAUAGUGAAAACUUGUAAAAACAAAUACCUCAAUUCAGUAAAUACCUCUUCAAAAUAUCUUUUAAAAGUUAAAAAUGUGAAUGAAAAACAAUGAGAAAAGGUAAACACAUAAAAUCAGCCUCUCGGGCACCAUAUCAAUAGAAAUCAGCCCCUCGGGCAAUAACAUGGAACAACCUCAGCCCCUCGGGCUAUGUCACAUAUCUCACUGGGUACCCGCGCUCACUGGGGGUGUACAGACUCCGGGGGGGGACCCUUUACGGUCCAAGCGCAAUAUCAAGUCAUCUCGUGGCAUAAUCAAUAGGCUCUCGGCCUCAUAUCAAGCCACCUUAUGGCGUACAACUCAGGCCCUCGGCCUCAUUGUCACACUUCCUUUUUACACCCAAGAAAGGAUAUAUAAGGAAGUUUUUCCAAUUAAAGUGACAUUAAUCAAAAUGAGAUUAUUUAUUUAAAAUCAUAGUCGCCACUUGGGAUAAUUUAUGGUGUCCCAAGUCACCGGUUUAGAAUCUCGAAUCGAGGAAAGAUUGACUCUGUUCUAUAGUCCGCGAACACAGAAAUUCGGGUAAGGAAUUCUGUUAACCCGGGAGAAGGUGUUAGGCAUUCCCGGAUUUCGUUGUUCUAGCACGGUCGCUCAACUAUUACAAUUGGCCUAUUAUCUGAUUUUAAUACAUGUUUUAGCCUAUGGUAUAUUUUAACUUAUUAACCGUUUUUAAUCAUUUUUAGGAAGAUUCAACGUUAUUUAAAACACGCCUCGAACCACGCCACAUGAAAUGCACUCGGGGUCCACGAUACAUUUUGUUUAACGUUGUUGAGAAUUGGAGUUGGGUCACAUGAAAUGCAAACCCGAGUUUAAGGAAAUUAAUUUAAAUAGCGUGCCUAAAGCAACUACGCACUUUCAAGUUUGCGAGGGCCAUGGAAAAUUCAACUAAUGGCACAUCUCGAUUUCUAAAGAGUUAAAAUUGAUUAAGUGAGAACCAUGAGUUUUGGGAUUUUAUUUGGCACGGCACGCCUCGACUUAUUACAAAAGGGCUUUAUUAUUCGAAGUGGUUAUAAUCGGGUUACAUGAAAUGUACCCCCGAAUUUGAGAAUUAGGUAUCAUGACUAUGUCACGGGAACCGUACCCAUAGUCAUGAUGAUUUAUUUACUAACCGUGCCUAAGUAUGCUCUUAACGGGUAAGUAAUUAAGAGAGCAAUAAAAUAUUUUCAAUUCACUUUUAACUUUCAGUCCAAACAUACGGCCAAAUACUUGUAGUCUCCAAGAUUUAAAUCAAACUGUACCAAACAAUUAUAUCUUAAUGGAGCAACAAGUCAGGGAAAUUAAACUCAUUUUAAGUUGAAAUAUUCUAAACAAAUAGAUAAUGAGGAAAUUACCAAACUAAACCCAUUAAAUUUUGUAAACUCAACACGUCUCAAACUUAAUGAUAAUGCCGACAACAAAUUAUAGGUGAAAGGCAUACUAAUUCGCAAUAAUUAAUAAUUAUGAAACCUCAUCGCAGAAUAGAAACAUCUAAACGGGGUUAGGAGUCAAAUCAUGGAGAAACAAAAUAACAUUCAAACCAAGAGUCUCAUUCGAACGAGCAUACCUGCUGAACAUAGAAUCAAACAAUCCAAACAAGCUUACACAGCAAUGGCUUAUACACAAUUCUUCACAGCAACGACAAAUGAUUAUGUCUCGAAGUUCGCCGGAAUCUCAAACGGCAGUCAAAACCUCGAAACCAGACACCACUAGAACUCAAUCAAACUCCCUGUUUCAGAACUCCAAAAUUUCUGGCCGAAGCUUUUGCUUUUUUUUUUUUUGGCUUCGGUACGUGUGUGUGUUAUGGUUGUUGAUGAAGCUCGACGGUGGGGAGAGGAUGAAGAAGACGAGAAUAUAGGGGGUCAUUUUUUGAUCCUGUAUUGUGCGCUAGCCUUUUCUUCUAGGUCCUCGAGUCUCCUUUUAGGUCAGCUUUUUGUCUUGUCUUUUUUGUAAUGUUUUUUGGCAGAUAUUCCUUUUGAUCUUUUAGAGAAAUGGCAGAUCAGUAAGAUUUUUUAGGUUAGGUCAAUUUAGGGAUUAGGUAAUAUUAU